RNA transcript from Symsagittifera roscoffensis, 1454 nucleotides. It is a transcript of the gene named delta-like protein B, with no coding region annotated. The transcript has 3 exons. The record is from RefSeq and is a predicted model, not a curated record. NCBI's taxonomy places the organism in Eukaryota, Metazoa, Xenacoelomorpha, Acoela, Convolutidae.
UCGAUAUGUAAUUGUGAACGAGUAGAUUUUUAAAGCACAGUUCAAAACUAUUAGAGUGACUUGAACUGAAUUGGAAUUAUCUGAGCUGACGAGACGCUGAAUCAAUCCAUUGCAUAAGAAGAUCUAAUUUGCAACUGAAAACAAAAAUGAAAACCGGAAAUUACUGCUGCUGAAAAUGAAUCCAAAUUACUUCUGAAGUAUGCAAAUAAGUUACUCAUAAAAUAUGCAAGCCAGUUAUUCCAACGUCAUCUUAGCUCUACUUCUGGUUGUAUGCACAACCGUUUCUGAAUCCAGCAAACCUCAAUCGGCAGAAAACUCCGAGGGAGACGGGGAUCCAUGCGGUGACCAGCCCUGUGGGGAGAAGGGAACAUGUGCUGAUUUGGGGAACGGGUUCGGCUAUGCCUGUCAAUGCGAGAGGGGAUGGACAGAUGACGAGAACUUCCAACAACCUAACUGCAAAAAAUACGACGAGAAAACAUGUCAUGAUUCACUAUGCGAACAUGGGGGAAAGUGUCCCGCAAAUGACCCCGAUAACCCGAAUUGCGAGUGCACCCCUGGCUACAUGGGCAGAUGGUGUGAACAUGCUGGCGAAGGUCAAUCGGGAAGCUCCUCCAAAUGGGUUGGGGGUCGAUUGAGGUCGCGAAUGGGUCCGGUAUCUCUUUCAACUAUCAUUGGUAUUGUUGUCGCUGUUUCGGGUGUUCUGCUAGUCUGCUCGUUGAUAUGUCUGGUACAAUGUGUGAAACGUAGAAAUGCGGCCAGAAAAACGAAGUCGGCGAAAGCGUUCAAGUUCAACAAGCAGAAAGCUGAAAGUGCAGAUACAUUGCGCUCGUCGCAGUCGACUAUUGACGAGGAAAAGUCGUUACUGUCUCCACAAGCUUCUCCAAGAGGAGAGAUGGGGAUAGGUCAUAAUGUGUCUACGGCACCCAGUACAAGAACCCCAUUGGCUAAUCAUGGAGCGCCUGCUUUAGCUUUCAAUGAGUACUAGAAAAGUGAAUUCACUAAGUGCUUAUUCAAGCAAAUCAGAAAGUGAUCAAUGCCUUAGUGUCAACGGCAACCAAGUAAAAUUGAAUUGAAAUAAGCUGCCAUCAUUGUUUCUGGUUUGCAAUGGAGUAGACUUGUUGAUAACCCAGGUUUCAUUGCAUUAAUAGUCAAGCAGAUUAUCUGGGACUGACGGAUUUUGUUUAAGUCUCAAAAUUAGUUCCAAUUUUUGAUCUAUAGUUUGCAAGUUUGAAGCAAUGUGUCAUGAUUUAAGAAAGAGCCUGAUGUCAAGCAAUAUAGCAGAAGUUAUCAUUAUUGAGAAAAAUCGUGGCGUGUCUCUUUCACCUUGCUUGGACAAUCCCUGUGGCUUCCAUGGUCUCUGUCUACCCUCUGGCCCUAGUGUAUAUUUGUGCGAGUGUGAAGUGGGAUGGACUCAAGACCAGACUAAGCCAACACCCAACUGCAUGUAAGACUGA